RNAcentral lists this ribosomal RNA (939 nucleotides) under Triticum aestivum (bread wheat). Its description in RNAcentral is "partial small subunit ribosomal RNA". The record is from RNAcentral. Lineage: Eukaryota; Viridiplantae; Streptophyta; Magnoliopsida; Poales; Poaceae.
AUGAACAAGAGCUCGACAGUGCCUAUUCGUUGCUCCCAGGAAGAGAUACAGUGGGUGUCGCAUAGCCUUGGGUGCUCGACCUCGAUGUUUCCCUGCAAGUAUUUGGGCAUUCCACUCACGAUCAGAAAGGCUUCGGCAGCUCAACUCCAGGGACUGUUGGACCGUGUGGCCGAUUGCCUCCCACUUUGGAAGGCGGCAAUGCUGCCUAAGAGUGGCCGCUUGUUGCUCAUACAAUCCGUGCUGUGUGCCAUUCCUAUCCACACUAUGAUGGCUUUGGAUCUUCCUGCAAGAACGCUGGCGGCGCUAGUCAAGAUAUGCAGGAAUUUCCUUUGGUGCGGUAAGAAGGAGGCCAAUGGCGGCAGCUGCUCGGUUGCCUGGGAGGAAGUUUGCACGCCCAAGUGGGCAGGUGGGCUAGGGUUACCAAAUCUGCCUUGGUUUAACAAGGCCCUUCGGGCGCGCUGGGCCUGGCUGAGAAAAGCAGAUAAGGAAAGACCUUGGACCGGCUUUCAGAUUACUAUACCAACGGAAUCUCAGGCACUGGUGGAUGCUGCUGCCCGGACGACAGUUGGUGAUGGGAAAGCGACUCUGUUUUGGGAGGAUAGAUGGAUCAUGGGCGAGCGAGUUAGAGAUAUUGCACCGAGCAUAUACAUUCGGGUCCCGAAGCGGGUGCGACAAUCUGAAUUGGUAGCGGAUGCGUUGAGAGAUGGCAGUUGGGCAUGGCAUGUUGGCACUGAACUGUCACCGGAGGCACUUGAUCAAUAUCUCCUUCUGUGGACUUGUGUCUCAUCCAUUACACUCGAUGACGAUAGUCAAGACUCUGUGACCUGGACUUGGGAGCAAUGGUUGUUUUUUGACUCGCUCAGCUUAUGCGGCAAGGUUCUCCGGGCGGCAGGUUUCGCCAACUGCAGACUUCACCUGGCAAUCCAAGGCACCGCUUAG